Molecule: unclassified non-coding RNA, 310 nt
Filed under: plant metagenome
Description: partial contains 5.8S ribosomal RNA, internal transcribed spacer 2, and large subunit ribosomal RNA
Rfam family: 5.8S ribosomal RNA (bases 1-105)
Source: RNAcentral
GAAAUGCGAUAAGUAGUGUGAAUUGCAGGAUUCAGUGAAUCAUCGAAUCUUUGAACGCACAUUGCGCCCCUUGGUAUUCCAUGGGGCAUGCCUGUUCGAGCGUCAUUUGUACCCUCAAGCUCUGCUUGGUGUUGGGUGUUUGUCCCCGUCUCCGCGCGUGGACUCGCCCCAAAGUGAUUGGCAGCCGGCGUACUGGUCCCGGAGCGCAGCACAUGUCGCGCAAACGAGUGCCUUGGUACGGCGGCGUCCAUAAGCCCCUCUCUCACGCUCUUGACCUCGGAUCAGGUAGGGAUACCCGCUGAACUUAAGC